AAUGAACGCUGGCGGCAUGCCUAACACAUGCAAGUCGAACGGCAGCACGGGUGCUUGCUUCUGUUGGCGAGUGCCGAAGGCGUGAGUGAUACAUCUGCAUAUGUCCCUUAUUUGGGGGUGGCGCGUAGGAAGCGGGAUUUAUACUACAACCGAACAACGUCUACGGGCGGGUGCACUUGAGCUCUCGCGCUUUCGGGUUGGCUGGUGGCGGAUUAGCUAGUUGGUGGGGUAAAGGCCUACCAAGGCGACGAUGAGUAGCCGGUCUGAGAGGGUGAUCAGUCACACUGGGACUGAGACACGGUCCAGACUCCUACGGGAGGCAGCAGUGGGGAAUUUUGGACAAUGGGCGAAAGCCUGAUCCAGCAAUGCCGCGUGUGUGAAGAAGGCCUUCGGGUUGUAAAGCACUUUUGUUCGGAAAGAAAACCUUGGCCCUAAUACAGUCGGGUGAUGACGGUACCGGAAGAAUAAGCACCGGCUAACUACGUG
Molecule: ribosomal RNA, 486 nt
Filed under: uncultured bacterium
Lineage: Bacteria
Description: partial 16S ribosomal RNA
Rfam family: Bacterial small subunit ribosomal RNA
Source: RNAcentral